GUCCCUGUAGGGCAAUGGACAGCGCGUUGGAUUUCCAAUCCAAUGGUCGUUGGUUUGAAUCCCAUCUGGGAUG
This 73-nucleotide transfer RNA is filed under the name Trichonephila clavata. It matches the Rfam family "tRNA". From Rfam's summary of the family: Transfer RNA (tRNA) molecules are approximately 80 nucleotides in length. Lineage: Eukaryota; Metazoa; Arthropoda; Arachnida; Araneae; Nephilidae. The record is from Rfam by way of RNAcentral.